Molecule: ribosomal RNA, 489 nt
Filed under: uncultured bacterium
Lineage: Bacteria
Description: partial 16S ribosomal RNA
Rfam family: Bacterial small subunit ribosomal RNA
Source: RNAcentral
AGUGAACGCUGGCGGUAGGCCUAACACAUGCAAGUCGAACGGCAGCACAGUAAGAGCUUGCUCUUACGGGUGGCGAGUGGCGGACGGGUGAGGAAUACAUCGGAAUCUACUUUUUCGUGGGGGAUAACGUAGGGAAACUUACGCUAAUACCGCAUACGACCUACGGGUGAAAGCAGGGGAUCUUCGGACCUUGCGCGAUUGAAUGAGCCGAUGUCGGAUUAGCUAGUUGGCGGGGUAAAGGCCCACCAAGGCGACGAUCCGUAGCUGGUCUGAGAGGAUGGUCAGCCACACGGGAUGUGAGACACGGUCGGGACUGCGACGGGGGGCAGCAGUGGGGAAUAUGGAACAGUGGGGGAAAGCGUGAUCCGGCCAUACGGCGGGGGUAAAGAAGGCGUUCGGGUUGUAAAGCCCUUUUGUUGGGAAAGAAAAGCAGCAGGUUAAGACCCCGCUGUUCUGACGGUACCCAAAGAAUAAGCACCGGCUAACUUC